GACGAACGCUGGCGGCGUGCUUAACACAUGCAAGUCGAACGGAAAGGCCCUGCUUUUGUGGGGUGCUCGAGUGGCGAACGGGUGAGUAACACGUGAGUAACCUGCCCUUGACUUUGGGAUAACUUCAGGAAACUGGGGCUAAUACCGGAUAGGAGCUCCUGCUGCAUGGUGGGGGUUGGAAAGUUUCGGCGGUUGGGGAUGGACUCGCGGCUUAUCAGCUUGUUGGUGGGGUAGUGGCUUACCAAGGCUUUGACGGGUAGCCGGCCUGAGAGGGUGACCGGCCACAGUGGGACUGAGAUACGGCCCAGACUCCUACGGGAGGCAGCAGUGGGGAAUAUUGCAAAAUGGGCGGAAGCCUGAUGCAGCAACGCCGCGUGCGGGAUGACGGCCUUCGGGUUGUAAACCGCUUUCGCCUGUGACGAAGCGUGAGUGACGGUAAUGGGUAAAGAAGCACCGGCUAACUACGUG
RNAcentral lists this ribosomal RNA (468 nucleotides) under uncultured bacterium. RNAcentral describes it as "partial 16S ribosomal RNA". It matches the Rfam family "Bacterial small subunit ribosomal RNA", at positions 28 to 507 of the family's 1533-position model. The record is from RNAcentral.